This 772-nucleotide ribosomal RNA is filed under the name uncultured bacterium. RNAcentral describes it as "bacterial SSU rRNA". It matches the Rfam family "Bacterial small subunit ribosomal RNA", at positions 28 to 811 of the family's 1533-position model. The record is from RNAcentral.
GAUGAACGCUGGCGGCGUGCCUAACACAUGCAAGUCGAACGGACUUACAUUGAAGCCUAGCGAUAUGUAAGUUAGUGGCGGACGGGUGAGUAACGCGUGGGUAACCUGCCUUGUACUGGGGGACAACAGUUGGAAACGACUGCUAAUACCGCAUAAGCGCACAGCUUCGCAUGAAGCAGUGUGAAAAACUCCGGUGGUACAAGAUGGACCCGCGUCUGAUUAGCUGGUUGGUGAGGUAACGGCCCACCAAGGCGACGAUCAGUAGCCGGCCUGAGAGGGUGAACGGCCACAUUGGGACUGAGACACGGCCCAAACCCCUACGGGAGGCAGCAGUGGGGAAUAUUGCACAAUGGGGGAAACCCUGAUGCAGCAACGCCGCGUGAGUGAAGAAGUAUUUCGGUAUGUAAAGCUCUAUCAGCAGGAAAGAAAAUGACGGUACCUGACUAAGAAGCCCCGGCUAACUACGUGCCAGCAGCCGCGGUAAUACGUAGGGGGCAAGCGUUAUCCGGAUUUACUGGGUGUAAAGGGAGCGUAGACGGUUUUGCAAGUCUGAAGUGAAAGCCCGGGGCUUAACCCCGGGACUGCUUUGGAAACUGUAGGACUAGAGUGCAGGAGAGGUAAGUGGAAUUCCUAGUGUAGCGGUGAAAUGCGUAGAUAUUAGGAGGAACACCAGUGGCGAAGGCGGCUUACUGGACUGUAACUGACGUUGAGGCUCGAAAGCGUGGGGAGCAAACAGAAGUAGCUACCCUGGUAGUCCACGCCGUAAACGAUC